GACGAACGCUGGCGGCGUGCUUAACACAUGCAAGUCGAACGAAGUGGCGAACGGGUGAGUAAUACGCGGGUAAACUGCCCCCCUUUUCGGGAUAAGCCUUGGAACCGGGGUCUAAUACCGAAUAAAGGUGGAUGGGCUCGCGGCCUAUCAGCUUGUUGGUGGGGUGAUGGCCUACCAAGGCGGUGACGGGUAGCCGGCCUGAGAGGGUGACCGGCCACAUUGGGACUGCGAUACGGCCCAGAAUCCUACGGGAGGCAGCAGUGGGGGAUAUUGCACAGUGGGCGAAAGCCUGAUGCAGCGACGCCGCGUGGGGGAUGAAGGCUUUGGGGUUGUAGACCUCUUUCGCUCUCGAACGGGUAGGUGGAGAAGAGGCGCCGGCUGACUACAUGCCAGCAGCCGCGGUAAUUC
Molecule: ribosomal RNA, 408 nt
Filed under: uncultured bacterium
Lineage: Bacteria
Description: partial 16S ribosomal RNA
Rfam family: Bacterial small subunit ribosomal RNA
Source: RNAcentral